AUGCCCACUUUUGGGGACCUUCAUUUAAGUGAGGUGCCACGUCCGGAGGAGGGCAGCAGGAAUGAAAGACCUCUAGUUUUCCAGACUCCCGGAGCCCUGGUCUCUACGCCACAUGGACGUUAUCCACCUCCUCUGUGUCCUCCCAAGGCAGCAUUUCAGAAGGUGAUCCACGGCAAAGCGGUCCCUUCAAAUCCGUCUUUGUACCCACUGCCAUAGUCAACCCCGUGAGGAGCACAGCUGGCCCCGGGACUUUAGGACAAGGGUCUCUUCGGAAAGGGCGGAGCAGCAUGAGAAAGAGUAAGUGGUGGCAGAGAGCAAGUCAAAACCGUGAGAUUUCAGAAUUACAGCCCUCCUCCCACCAAACAUUACACUUCCCAUCCCACCUCCGGAAAGCCUGAACAGCCAGCCACCCUCAAGGCAUCCCAGCCUGAAGCAGCAUCCUUGGGCCCAGAGAUGACCUUCCUAUUUGCCCACCGAAGCGGCUGCCACUCCGGACAGCAGACAGACCUCCGGAGAAAGUCAGCUCUUGGCAAGGCCACAACCCUGGUGUCCACUGCCUCAGCCACGCAGACCAUGUUUCCCAGCAAAUGAACCUACGGGUGGCUUUUCCUAGACCCCAAAGAGGUGAAUUGCAUUUAAAUACAGUCUGCCUCCACUGAGGGCAUCCUGCC
This 671-nucleotide small RNA is filed under the name Pongo abelii (Sumatran orangutan). RNAcentral describes it as "processed transcript". The record is from RNAcentral. Lineage: Eukaryota; Metazoa; Chordata; Mammalia; Primates; Hominidae.